AUUGAACGCUGGCGGCAGGCCUAACACAUGCAAGUCGAGCGGAUGAAGGGAGCUUGCUCCUGGAUUCAGCGGCGGACGGGUGAGUAAUGCCUAGGAAUCUGCCUGGUAGUGGGGGAUAACGUCCGGAAACGGGCGCUAAUACCGCAUACGUCCUGAGGGAGAAAGUGGGGGAUCUUCGGACCUCACGCUAUCAGAUGAGCCUAGGUCGGAUUAGCUAGUUGGUGGGGUAAAGGCCUACCAAGGCGACGAUCCGUAACUGGUCUGAGAGGAUGAUCAGUCACACUGGAACUGAGACACGGUCCAGACUCCUACGGGAGGCAGCAGUGGCGAAUAUUGGACAAUGGGCGAAAGCCUGAUCCAGCCAUGCCGCGUGUGUGAAGAAGGUCUUCGGAUUGUAAAGCACUUUAAGUUGGGAGGAAGGGCAGUAAGCUAAUACCUUGCUGUUUUGACGUUACCAACAGAAUAAGCACCGGCUAACUUCGUG
RNAcentral lists this ribosomal RNA (484 nucleotides) under uncultured bacterium. RNAcentral's name for it is "partial 16S ribosomal RNA". It matches the Rfam family "Bacterial small subunit ribosomal RNA", at positions 30 to 507 of the family's 1533-position model. The record is from RNAcentral.